Schistocerca gregaria is the source of this 1209-nucleotide long non-coding RNA. RefSeq lists it as uncharacterized. The record is from RefSeq and is a predicted model, not a curated record. Lineage: Eukaryota; Metazoa; Arthropoda; Insecta; Orthoptera; Acrididae. The transcript has 2 exons.
AGUUUGAGCGGUCUUUUUUAACGUGUACAUCUUGCGUUUCCGAUACGGCAAAUGCAGAUGGACAGGCGCUGAGGGAAAAAGACAACUGAGUUUUUCUCGUCCUUCUUUCAAAAAUAGAGCGGUCAAAGAAAAAGUCUAAAUCACGCAAUUCUCAGUCGCCUAAAACACAGCUUGGCGUCUAUAGCUCCCCCGUUAUACGCGGCGCAUCUUUAUAUUUGGCUUUUGUCUAUUUUUUUCUCUCUUGCAUAUAGCGUAAAUAAAGCUUUCCUAUCUUAUUUUUGUAUUAAGCACCGGGCACAUAAAUUGUCCGAUUAGAGGUAAGUAUUUCUUUACGGUAAACCAGUAUAGUCGGUAUAUGCUUACAAAUUUCUUCCCAUCGCUAUGGUUUUUUUCACUGAGUUUAACAUGGGCAUGGGCAUCCUCUUCCUACUUCUGGCUGCAUUGGCCAUAAUUGUUCUAUAUUAUGUUUAUGUGAAGUACUAUAAAAAAGACCACGGUAGCAGCUCGUCGUCGAUGGCUACUCCUCCUGUUGUUGUUCAAGAAGUGCCGCAGCCUCAGCCUACAUCACCUGCGCAACAGCACCCGCUCGACCAACAAACAACUUUCUUAUAUGAUGCGAAUCCGCCGCCUUACACUGUCUAUCCACAACCGGGCCCUCAAUACGUAGACCAAACACAGGUCACGCAAUUUGGAUGGCCGUACCCAGGUAUGCAAACACCAGUUCCCUAUGAUGGCGCUCAACCCUACUCUGCACAAAUGAUGCCAGCUCAGUAUCCUAUGCAAAUGCCUGUGCAACUCGAAGGACAACAACAAGUACCUGUGCAAUUCGAAGGACAACAACAAGUACCUGUGCAAUUCGAAGGACAACAACAAGUACCUGUGCAAUUCGAAGGACAACAACAGGCGCCUGUUCAACUCGAAGGACAACAACAAGCGCCUGUUCAACUCGAAGGACAACAACAAGCGCCUGUUCAAUUCGAAGGACAACGACGAGAGCAGACAACUGUGCAAGCUUCCCCUCCUCCCCCCCGUGUGUCUGGUUAGUGAGACCGAGAUUCCUGGAUGGCCAUUGAGCAUCCCUUUUAUCUGAGUAAAUAGGGAUUGUGUAUGACGCUUAUCACGUCUAUGCCCCUUUCGUGUAUAUUUACAUAUUUCACUUUAUUAGAUUUUUGUGGUGCCAGAUAAUGCGUCACAAGUCAUGUUAGCUCA